UGCCACUGUUAAAACUAAAAGUUUGCUGAUAAACUAUCUAGGCUAUAUCUCUAAGUGCAUAACAGAAUUUUGGCAUCUAACUUUGGUCAUCCACUUAUUUCUAGAGGUUUUUUCCUAGUAGCAG
Long non-coding RNA from Zophobas morio, 124 nucleotides. RefSeq lists it as uncharacterized. Lineage: Eukaryota; Metazoa; Arthropoda; Insecta; Coleoptera; Tenebrionidae. The record is from RefSeq and is a predicted model, not a curated record. The transcript has 3 exons.